Non-coding RNA from Carica papaya (papaya), 371 nucleotides. NCBI's taxonomy places the organism in Eukaryota, Viridiplantae, Streptophyta, Magnoliopsida, Brassicales, Caricaceae. The record is from RefSeq and is a predicted model, not a curated record.
CCCCCAAUUCCGAUCCCGCACUCCCGGUUUCCGUCCCUGUCUCAAGAAAACACUUCGAUUUUUCUCGAGAAAUUUUGGGGAUUAGGAGCGGGGGCGGAGAAUUUAACAAGAAAUUUCAGAAAAAAAUAAAGUAUGAGCUUUCAAGAUCUUGAGGCAGGGAGGCCGUUGGCUUCAAGGCGGGAUUUGAUCAACGGCAAGCAGGACCCAACGCAGGCGGUCGCUCCGGAAUUUUCCAGAUCAACACUGCUGUCUCUACGUUCCAGCGACUCGUCAAUACCCUCGGCACGCCCAAAGACACGCCGGAGCUUCGUGAGAAGCUGCACAAAACAAGGCUUCAUAUUGGGCAAUUAGUGAAGGAUACUUCAGCAAAA